GGGGUUUCCUGUGGGCCUCUAUUUACGGGCAGAGUUUGAAGAGCCAUAAGAAAGAAAGCAAAUCAGACGAUUAGCCCUACUUUAUUAGACCAGAUAUCCUUAUUAUCUUUUGCUUUAUCUGGAGAGAUAUAUUUGUUAUCUUCUGUCUUAUCAAGAAUGCUAGCUCGAAAAGAAGAAUCGAGUGUUAGUCAUGCUUUAUUGGAUGAGAUACAUUUGUUAUCUUCUUCUUUAUCUGCUUAUGAUAGAUUGUCAUGUAGAUUUUAAGAUUUUUUAGAUAUAAUAUUUUUUUCAAAAUAUCU
This 299-nucleotide long non-coding RNA is filed under the name Elaeis guineensis (African oil palm). Its description in RNAcentral is "long non-coding RNA (EGUI_LNC047986)". The record is from RNAcentral. Lineage: Eukaryota; Viridiplantae; Streptophyta; Magnoliopsida; Arecales; Arecaceae.